AUUGAACGCUGGCGGCAGGCCUAACACAUGCAGGUCGAGCGGAUGAAGGGAGCUUGCUCCUGGAUUCAGCGGCGGACGGGUGAGUAAUGCCUAGGAAUCUGCCUGGUAGUGGGGGAUAACGUCCGGAAACGGGCGCUAAUACCGCAUACGUCCUGAGGGAGAAAGUGGGGGAUCUUCGGACCUCACGCUAUCAGAUGAGCCUAGGUCGGAUUAGCUAGUUGGUGGGGUAAAGGCCUACCAAGGCGACGAUCCGUAACUGGUCUGAGAGGAUGAUCAGUCACACUGGAACUGAGACACGGUCCAGACUCCUACGGGAGGCAGCAGUGGGGAAUAUUGGACAAAGGGCGAAAGCCUGAUCCAGCCAUGCCGCGUGUGUGAAGAAGGUCUUCGGAUUGUAAAGCACUUUAAGUUGGGAGGAAGGGCAGUAAGUUAAUACCUUGCUGUUUUGACGUUACCAACAGAAUAAGCACCGGCUAACUUCGUG
RNAcentral lists this ribosomal RNA (484 nucleotides) under uncultured bacterium. Its description in RNAcentral is "partial 16S ribosomal RNA". It matches the Rfam family "Bacterial small subunit ribosomal RNA", at positions 30 to 507 of the family's 1533-position model. The record is from RNAcentral.